GAAGAAGAAGAAGAAGACGGCUUAGCUGGGUAUGGUGGCAUAUAUCUGUAAUCCCAACAGCUUGGAGGCUGAGACAAGAAGGAUCUCAAGUUUGAGGCCAGCCUCAAGAACUUAGCAAGACCCUGUCUCAAAAGAAAACAAAACAAAAAGCCAAGACUCAGAUUAACUAGGCCACAAUCACACAGCCAAUGAAUGGUGAGGCGGAUGGGGUUCUGUCUGGCCACGAUUUUCCCAUGUAGGGAGGCUUGGGGUAAUUCCCCCGCCCCCCUCUACUUUUUUAUACUUCCACAUUUUUAAAGGAUAAACAAAACUAACAUAGUAACUACACAAAUUAAAUAAAAUUAAGAAAGAGGCUAAGUAGCUCUUUUAUGUAUGGGCGUAAUGGCUUGAGAUGAAGAUAGGUAACAUGUCAUUAAGCUCAGUGUCUCCGGGCGUCUGCUGCCUUAUCUUUAAAAUGAGGGGCUCAAUUGAGAGCCCUCAAAGGCACUUUCCAGUUUUCAUUUUAGUCUUGUCUAUAGUUU
This 521-nucleotide long non-coding RNA is filed under the name Marmota monax (woodchuck). Lineage: Eukaryota; Metazoa; Chordata; Mammalia; Rodentia; Sciuridae. The record is from RNAcentral.